UGGCGCCCAAGCUUGGGACCCGAGGCACGGGGGAUUCCGUGAAGAACGCCGUUCAUCAAAGAAGACUGCAGUCAUUUCCCUAAUCAAGAGGUCGCCGCGAGCACGCCCAGUUCGUGAAGGAAAGACCUGGAAGGAAUGAAGAACGAUCAUGGUCCUACUUCGCCAGAUGACUGUCUGCAUCCUGAUGCUGGUAAUGAUGGCCAAAUCUACACCUCACUUACCCCUUAAACUUACCUGGGUGGUGCAAAAUGAACAGGGGAACACAAUCUUCUCCAAUACCAGCAUUACACCCAUGAGUUCCUGGUUCCUGGAUAUUUAUAUAUCCAGGGAAAAUUUUUUCCCUUGUACCCAGUGGGGUUACACAUACCUAGCACACUUCUAUGUUUGCCCUGCAGCAGAAUUCCAUAAGCGGGGUUGUAGAGGAGCUUCUGACUAUUACUGUUACAAAUGGGGGUGUGAAACCUCUGGCAGGGUCUACUGGACCAUCCCUGACAAAUCAGACCUGAUAAAGGUCACCCUAAAAUCAUAUGAUGCCAGUGGCUCUGGUUAUUAUUAUUACUAUUUCUUUUUUUUGUUUUUUUUUUAAUAUUUAUUUUAUUUAUUUAUUCCCCUUUGUUGCCCUUGUUGUUUUAUUGUUGUAGUUAUUAUUGUUGUUGUCGUUGUUGGAUAGGACAGAAAGAAAUGGAGAGAGGAGGGGAAGACAGAGAGGAGGAGAGAAAGAUAGACACCUGAAGACCUGCUUCACCGCCUCUGAAGCGACUCCCCUGCAGGUGGGGAGCCGGGGUUCGAACCAGGAUCCUUAUGCCGGUCCUUGUGCUUUGCACCACCUGCGCUUAACCCGCUGCGCUACAGCCCGACUCCCUAUUAUUACUAUUUCUAUAACUGUAAUGCCGGCACUCCCCUAUAUCCCACACUCAAGAUUAGUUUUACAGAUAUAGGAAAAAAGGCCGAUUGGACCUCUCCCAAAACUUGGGGAAUUAGACUAUACAAUCCAAAUGACGUUGACCAUGGAACCCUUUUUUCCAUAUUCCUUAAAAAGGAGAUACCUGAGGGCAUGGGAAUAGGACCUAACCUAGUUCUCAAACCCCCUGAAGCCCCUGCAGCUUGGCCUCCUGCCCCUGCCUCCCCUGAACUACCUGUCGAGAACUCCAUGGCCUUCACUCCCUCACAAACUGUGGGCCUUUCCACACUGGCUACUUAUAAUCCACUAAGGAGACUUUGAUUACCCUUAUCAACCAUACUUUCCUAACCCUAAAUCAUUCAAGGCCAGACCUUACUAAUUCAUGCUGGCUGUGCUACAAUGCAAACCCCCCUUUUAUAAAGGAAUAGCUACCCCUGGCAUGUAUAAUGUCUCCACGAAUCCUCAUGACUGCCGAUGGAAUCAACUGGGAUCCACUAAACUAACUCUUCAGUAGGUCACGGGACAAGGUUCUGUGCGUAGGAACUGUUCCCCCCAGCCAUCAGAGGCUAUGCAACCAGACUGUUUCUAAUUUCACUAGCUCCCUGGACGGUUCCUGUCUUGUCCCACCUGACACGGCCUGGUGGGCAUGUAGUGAUGGCCUCACCCCCUGUGUCUUUACCCAGUUUCUUAAGAAAAAGGAUAACCAAUCACUUUUCUGUAUUUUGGUACAAUUAAUCCCCAGGUUGAUUUAUUAUACAGAAGAGCAGUUUGCACGCACCUGGGACCCAAUAAAUGAUCAAAGAUUGCUCAGGCCACGUCAGGAACUUGUAUCCGCAGCCACCCUUGCGGUCCUGCUAGGGCUGGGGGCAGGAGGGACCGGGGUGGGGCAUAACGUCUCUCGUUCUUUCCAACAAAUAUUAUUCAGAUCUGCAUUUAUCUAUUGAUGAAGACCUCGAGAGACUUGAAACCACUAUUUCCCACCUUGAGAAAUCCCUUUCCUUGCUUGCUGAGGUUGUCCUCCAGAACCGAAGAGGCCUAGACUUGCUUCUCCUCCAGCAAGGAGGCCUUUGUGCAGCUCUUAAAGAAGAAUGUUGCUUCUAUAUGGAUCACUCUGGGGUGGUCAAAGACUCUAUGGCCAAGGUCAGAGAGGGGUUAGAACAUAGAAAGAGACAAAGAGAGCAAGAGCAGAGCUGGUUCCAGAACUGGUUUUCCGCCUCUCCCUGGCUAACAACUCUUCUACCCUCCUUGGUAGCACCCCUCAUAGGCCUGUUACUCCUCCUUUCUUUUGGACCUUGGGUCCUCAAAAAACUGACCAGUUUAGUAAAACAACAAGUAGAAGCUUUUCAAGCAAAGCCUAUACAGGUCCACUACCACAGGCUAGACUUAGCCAACUGAGGCCUGGCCGAAGAUUAACGGCCUUUUCUGGAUAACCCCGCCUAAGACAGGGACAGGGCCAAGGCUGCUCUGAUACCCUAUGACGGGUAAGGGGAGAUCCACUUAUCAGGGACCCAUUUGCCAAUGACGGGACUUAGCAUGUCUGUCACUUUCACCUGCCUGGUUGCCAACCUAAGAUAGGAAACUCCAGCCAAUGAUAGCUGCUGGGGCUUCAGUGAUGGGUAAGGAACCUAUGUGAAAGAGACUCGCACGACAUGUAGCCUAAGACAGGCGUGGGUCACCUAGGCCUCUUCCAUUUUUUAUAUGGUAAUAAAAAGGGAGACAUGCGGGAAACCGCCCCCUCAGGGACCUCUGGUUUGAGGAACAAGCUACUCCAUCCUGUAUAAAAACUCCAUUAACCAUAAGCCUGCCUGACACGUACACAGGCAAGGCCACCCCUCACCCACUUCCAAGAUAUGUUUACUUAACCUCUGCAGCUUCACUUCUUCCUGGAACAGUUCCACAAUUAGCAGUACAGAUAUGACCAAAGAUGGUAAGGAAAGAACAUUCCAUGGUUAGGUAACCAUAGCAACCCCACUUAAGCAAAUCCCUCCAGACUCCAAAGCCAGCCUUAAAUACAUGUGGAAAAUUUUCAAUAAACGUGACUUGAUCAGA
Erinaceus europaeus (western European hedgehog) is the source of this 2950-nucleotide long non-coding RNA. RefSeq lists it as uncharacterized. Lineage: Eukaryota; Metazoa; Chordata; Mammalia; Eulipotyphla; Erinaceidae. The record is from RefSeq and is a predicted model, not a curated record. The transcript has 2 exons.